GACGAACGCUGGCGGCGUGCUUAACACAUGCAAGUCGAACGGUGAAGCGCCUUCCUUUUUGGUGGGUGUGGAUGAGUGGCGCACGGGUGAGUAACACGUGAGUAACCUGCCCCCUUCUUCUGGAUAACCGCAUGAAAGUGUGGCUAAUACGGGAUAUUCUGGGUCUGUCGCAUGAUGGGUCUGGGAAAGAUAUUGUUUCGGUGGGGGAUGGGCUCGCGGCCUAUCAGCUUGUUGGUGGGGUGAUGGCCUACCAAGGCGGUGACGGGUAGCCGGCCUGAGAGGGUGGACGGUCACACUGGGACUGAGACACGGCCCAGACUCCUACGGGAGGCAGCAGUGGGGAAUAUUGCACAAUGGGCGCAAGCCUGAUGCAGCGACGCCGCGUGAGGGAUGGAGGCCUUCGGGUUGUGAACCUCUUUCGCCAGUGAAGCAGGCCUGCCUCGUUUGUGGGUGGGUUGACGGUAGCUGGAUAAGAAGCGCCGGCUAACUACGUG
RNAcentral lists this ribosomal RNA (494 nucleotides) under uncultured bacterium. RNAcentral describes it as "partial 16S ribosomal RNA". It matches the Rfam family "Bacterial small subunit ribosomal RNA", at positions 28 to 507 of the family's 1533-position model. The record is from RNAcentral.